RNAcentral lists this ribosomal RNA (493 nucleotides) under uncultured bacterium. RNAcentral's name for it is "partial 16S ribosomal RNA". It matches the Rfam family "Bacterial small subunit ribosomal RNA", at positions 28 to 523 of the family's 1533-position model. The record is from RNAcentral.
GAUGAACGCUGGCGGCAUGCCUUACACAUGCAAGUCGAACGGUAACAGGUUAAGCUGACGAGUGGCGAACGGGUGAGUAAUGUAUCGGAACGUGCCCAGUCGUGGGGGAUAACUACUCGAAAGAGUGGCUAAUACCGCAUACGACCUGAGGGUGAAAGCGGGGGACCGUAAGGCCUCGCGCGAUUGGAGCGGCCGAGAGCAGAUUAGCUAGUUGGUGGGGUAAAAGCCCACCAAGGCGACGAUCUGUAGCUGGUCUGAGAGGACGACCAGCCACACUGGAACUGAGACACGGUCCAGACUCCUACGGGAGGCAGCAGUGGGGAAUAUUGGACAAUGGGCGCAAGCCUGAUCCAGCCAUGCCGCGUGUGUGAAGAAGGCCUUCGGGUUGUAAAGCACUUUCAGUAGGGAGGAAGGGUUAAGUGUUAAUAGUACUUAACUUUGACGUUACCUACAGAAGAAGCACCGGCUAACUCUGUGCCAGCAGCCGCAGUAA